GCCACUAUAGCUUAGCGGUUAGAGCCCUGGUCUUGUAAACCAGUGGUCGUGAGUUCAAUUCUCAGUGGUGGCU
RNAcentral lists this transfer RNA (73 nucleotides) under Caerostris darwini. RNAcentral describes it as "tRNA-Thr". It matches the Rfam family "tRNA". From Rfam's summary of the family: Transfer RNA (tRNA) molecules are approximately 80 nucleotides in length. Their secondary structure includes four short double-helical elements and three loops (D, anti-codon, and T loops). Lineage: Eukaryota; Metazoa; Arthropoda; Arachnida; Araneae; Araneidae. The record is from RNAcentral.